CAGCCGCCGCGGUAAUACGGAGGGGGCUAGCGUUGUUCGGAAUUACUGGGCGUAAAGCGCACGUAGGCGGCUUGGUAAGUUAGAGGUGAAAGCCCGGAGCUCAACUCCGGAAUUGCCUUUGAUACUGAAGAUCUUGAGUAUGGGAGAGGUGAGUGGAACUGCGAGUGUAGAGGUGAAAUUCGUAGAUAUUCGCAAGAACACCAGUGGCGAAGGCGGCUCACUGGCCCAUAACUGACGCUGAGGCACGAAAGCGUGGGGAGCAAACAGGAUUAGAUACCCGGGUAGUCCCUGUCUCUUAUAC
Molecule: ribosomal RNA, 301 nt
Filed under: uncultured bacterium
Lineage: Bacteria
Description: partial 16S ribosomal RNA
Rfam family: Bacterial small subunit ribosomal RNA
Source: RNAcentral